Long non-coding RNA from Bos taurus (domestic cattle), 1263 nucleotides. The record is from Ensembl. NCBI's taxonomy places the organism in Eukaryota, Metazoa, Chordata, Mammalia, Artiodactyla, Bovidae.
CGGGACCGCUCCGCGCUCCGACUGCGCCGGGGUCCCAGAGGAGGUGGGGGGCCCUCGGCCUCCGGUUCACGCAGCGCUGCGCUGAGCCCGCGCUUUCGCCAGAGACCCGCUCCAAGUCUGCUGAGAGUCCGCAGACCGGGUCCUUCCUUCAUCCUGAGACAGCCGUCGUCCACAUUCCCUUUCCUGACAACCCUGAACGCCUCUGCUGGUCUCGAACAACCCCCACCCAGAUCCCACCGACUGUAAAUGGAUCUCCAGGUCUGAGGCGGUGGAUCUUCUUCUGGUCCAAAGCAGUGGCCCUUUGCCUGCUGCUGGCGGACCCCUGGCGACCACCUGAGCCCCCGCUGGCGACAGGACACAGCUGCUUUAGGCCUCGAGCUCCGUGGUCUCCAAACCUUUUACUUGUUUAUUUAAGAAUUUUGGAAUACUAUCCAUCCUCCCAUGCAUUUUUUAAUAUCACUCCGGAAAUUUUUCAUCCUAUGUAAAUAGAUAUAGAGGAUAUAAUCACUAAAAUUUGAUGUCUGUAGCAGGCAGCUUCCUCGAUGCCCCCACCCCAUCCCAUCUCCUGGUGUUUGCACCUGCUGUGCCUCCCCUCCCCACCUUGAGUGUGUGCUGGGCCCAGUGACCUGUUCUCAACAGCAGAAUAUAAAUAUGAUGAGACAAAAAAAAAAAGGAUGUCACCGAUAGGGUUAGGCUGUGAAAGACCUGGACUUGGGGUUGUUCAGCCCUUUCUGGGUUGCCGUGAGCUGCCUGUGGAGAGGCUGGGACGGCCAGGAGCUGAGAAAGGACUGGUCAACAGCCAGGAAGAAACCGAGGCCAUCGUUUCACCGUGACAAUGAUCAGGAAGCCUAGGAGCUGCAACUGCUGAGCCCACGUGCAGCAACUACUGAAGCCUGCCUGUUCCAGAGCCCAUGCGCCGCAAGACAAGCCACCGCAAUAAGCCUGCACACUGCAGUGAAGAGAAGCCCCCCGCUCACCCCAACCACAGAAAAGCCCACGAAGCAACAAAGACCCAGCACAGUCAAAAAUAAAUAAACACGUACAUAAACAAAAGAAACCACCCUGGCAACUCAGCCAACAGAACCCAGCCAGGGAGACCUUGAACUCUCACUUUUCUCCAAAAGACUUUCAUUCAAAACAACCCGUCCCAACUUCCUCCUUUUUCUUUGUAAAUGUUUCAUUCCUCUCUGGAUUUGCCCAUGGCUUUUUGCUAUAUAGCUUGCUUCUUCUGAAUUCCAUUUCCUUUGCUGUUCCUGAAUAAAU